RNAcentral lists this ribosomal RNA (534 nucleotides) under uncultured bacterium. RNAcentral's name for it is "bacterial SSU rRNA". It matches the Rfam family "Bacterial small subunit ribosomal RNA", at positions 777 to 1325 of the family's 1533-position model. The record is from RNAcentral.
AAUAGAUACCCGGGUAGUCCACGCCGUAAACGAUGGAUGCUAGCUGUUAGAAGUAUCGACCCUUCUAGUAGCGUAGCUAACGCGUUAAGCAUCCCGCCUGUGGAGUACGGUCGCAAGACUAAAACAUAAAGGAAUUGACGGGGACCCGCACAAGCGGUGGAGCGUGUUGUUUAAUUCGAUGAUAAGCGAAGAACCUUACCCAGGCUUGACAUCCCACUAAGGACUCCGAAAGGAGACUGUGUCUUCGGACCGUGGUGACAGGUGUUGCAUGGCCGUCGUCAGCUCGUGUCGUGAGAUGUUUGGUUAAGUCCAUCAACGAGCGCAACCCUUAUAGUUAGUUGUAUUUCUCUAGCUAGACUGCCCUGGCAACAGGGAGGAAGGAGGGGAUGAUGUCAGGUCAGUAUUACCCUUACGUCUGGGGCUACAAACACGCUACAAUGGCCGGUACAAAGGGCAGCCAACCCGCGAGGGGGAGCAAAUCCCAUCAAAGCCGGUCUCAGUUCGGAUUGCAGGCUGAAACUCGCCUGCAUGAAG